RNAcentral lists this ribosomal RNA (253 nucleotides) under uncultured bacterium. RNAcentral describes it as "partial 16S ribosomal RNA". It matches the Rfam family "Bacterial small subunit ribosomal RNA", at positions 524 to 776 of the family's 1533-position model. The record is from RNAcentral.
UACGUAGGUGGCAAGCGUUGUCCGGAUUUACUGGGCGUAAAGAGCGCGCAGGCGGUCGAUCAAGUCGCGUGUGAAAGCCCCCGGCUCAACUUGGGAGGGUCACGCGAUACUGAUCGACUCGAAGGCAGGAGAGGGUAGUGGAAUUCCCGGUGUAGUGGUGAAAUGCGUAGAUAUCGGGAGGAACACCAGUGGCGAAGGCGACUACCUGGCCUGUUCUUGACGCUGAGGCGCGAAAGCUAGGGGAGCAAACGGG